Phoenix dactylifera (date palm) is the source of this 76-nucleotide non-coding RNA. The record is from RefSeq and is a predicted model, not a curated record. NCBI's taxonomy places the organism in Eukaryota, Viridiplantae, Streptophyta, Magnoliopsida, Arecales, Arecaceae.
GGGUUCCUUAACCAAGCCACUGCCUAUGAGUCGCCGGCUCAUUCUUCAACAGGCACGCGGUCAAACACAUAGUUAA